Molecule: ribosomal RNA, 496 nt
Filed under: uncultured bacterium
Lineage: Bacteria
Description: partial 16S ribosomal RNA
Rfam family: Bacterial small subunit ribosomal RNA
Source: RNAcentral
GAUGAACGCUGGCGGCGUGCCUAAUACAUGCAAGUCGAGCGAACAGACGAGGAGCUUGCUCCUCUGACGUUAGCGGCGGACGGGUGAGUAACACGUGGAUAACCUACCUAUAAGACUGGGAUAACUUCGGGAAACCGGAGCUAAUACCGGAUAAUAUAUUGAACCGCAUGGUUCAAUAGUGAAAGACGGUUUUGCUGUCACUUAUAGAUGGAUCCGCGCCGCAUUAGCUAGUUGGUAAGGUAACGGCUUACCAAGGCAACGAUGCGUAGCCGACCUGAGAGGGGGAUCGGCCACACUGGAGCUGAGACACGGUCCAGACUCCUACGGGAGGCAGCAGUAGGGAAUCUUCCGCAAUGGGCGAAAGCCUGACGGAGCAACGCCGCGUGAGUGAUGAAGGUCUUCGGAUCGUAAAACUCUGUUAUUAGGGAAGAACAAAUGUGUAAGUAACGAUGCACGUCUUGACGGUACCGAAUCAGAAAGCCACGGCUAACUACGU